RNAcentral lists this ribosomal RNA (253 nucleotides) under uncultured bacterium. RNAcentral describes it as "partial 16S ribosomal RNA". It matches the Rfam family "Bacterial small subunit ribosomal RNA", at positions 524 to 776 of the family's 1533-position model. The record is from RNAcentral.
UACGUAGGGUGCAAGCGUUAAUCGGAAUUACUGGGCGUAAAGCGUGCGCAGGCGGUUGUGCAAGACAGAUGUGAAAUCCCCGAGCUUAACUUGGGAAUUGCGCUCGAAACUACGUGGCUCGAGUGUGGCAGAGGAAGGUGGAAUUCCACGUGUAGCGGUGAAAUGCGUAGAGAUGUGGAGGAACACCGAUGGCGAGGGCAGCCUUCUGGGCCAACACUGACGCUCAUGCACGAAAGCGUGGGGAGCAAACAGG